UAGACAUUUCUCUGUAUAUAUGCCCAGGAGUGGGACUGCUGGAUCACAUGGUAUUUCUGUUUUUAGUUCUUGAGGAACGUCCAUACUGUUUUCCAUAGUGGUUGCACCAAUUUACUUUCCCAGCAACAGUGUGGGAGGGUUCCCUUUUCUCCACACCCUCUCCAGCCUUUACUUGCAGUCUUUUUAAUGAUGGCCAUUCUGACUGGUGUGUGGUCAUACCUCAUUUUUUCUUUGCAUUUGUUUCUUACCUACAAAGGAGCAGACAGAGGGCACUGACCUCCGUUUUCUAACCCACCCAGAGGGGAGGGGACCCUCCCACGCAGCCAGACUCUGUUCAUCUCUUGGAGUGCACCCCCACUCCCGUCCCCAGCUUCUGUGUACUUUUUAUUCUCAACCCCAAACCUGAAAUUCUUCACAAGAGGACUCUCCUCGGGGCUCUGAAGCACUUUGCCCCAUGCUCAAGGGCAGCUGGCAGUACCUGGGAAUGCCUAGAAAAACGGAAGGAGAGAGAAGGUCCCGUCUCUCCCCACGCAGUUGCCGGCCCUGCCAGCAGCCAGCAGGCAGCACGGAGCUGAGCCUGCAGCAGAAGCGGCCGUCUCCCCUUCCGGGCUGACCUGCCUGCGACCCUCCCCAGAGACGUGACAUCCCUCCUGCCAUCAGCCCCUGCAAUGUGACUCACUGCCUCCGGCGCUGACACAGCCUGGUGACAAUUACAGGGUAAGAGCGAUUCCAAACCGUGGAGCUUUCAGACCGGGGCUGUUAUCCUUAUGUAACAUUUCUAUUUCCUUUUGUCCUCGGAGCCUCAGGACUUCGGCUCCUGAUCAGUCAUAGAGUGACUUCUGCUGAAGAGACUGGGGCAGGACAAAGGUUCUGGAUGUCUUUAUUCUCCUCCCUCUCAGCUCUCUUCAUUAAGCUAUCCCCUGUUCUCCACCCAACACCCCUGAGAUGGCUGAUUCCCUAUGACAAAUUGGGAACAAGGAGAGAGAGAGACAGCCACCUUGAUGGAGCCACUGCACAUGCUGCCUUUUUACAGAGACCUGCUCAGGGUCAUUACCCUGUAGGGAGAAGUGACACCUGCAGACCCUCUGCCCAGAACAAGCCUCCACUCCCCCUGCUUCUGAGAGCUGCUUGCGUUCCUGGCCACCGUUCUCAGCUUCGGUCACUCCAACAUCUUCUCUGACUCUGUUUCUCCUGCCUCCCUCUUUCCUUGUAAGGAUCCUUGUGAUGACGCUGGGCCACCUGGAAAAUCCCAGAUAAUCUCGCCAUCUCUAGAUCCUUCGAGUAAUCAUGUCUGCAAGGUCCCUCCUGCCGGAAACGACAGAGUCAGUUUCUGGGGAGAGGACCAUGGACAUCUCUGGCCCGUAUUCUGCCCGCCGCCGUGGAUUGCUGACCGCCCUCUUUGAAAAGUGGAGCUCAGACACUAGAAAAUCCUCCGAAAUCAGGAAAGGACAGGGUGACAGUCACCAGCGCAAACCUGUUCAUGUAUAUUGCAGUUCUCGCUCCUUCCGGUCAUAUGGUAACAUCGCACUUCCCGGCCCCCCUUGAAAACUUUCAUGCGAUUUGUUCUGGCCAUGCAAACAGGAGAAGAGAUUGUGGCACUUCAGGGUAACAGUCUUCCUGGCAGUGUGAGAUGCACCUGCUCUUUCCUUUCCCUCCACCAGGGCCGCUGGCGAAUGGUGGCCUUUCUAUCAGCCUGAGUCCCAGAGUAAGGCAGACGCCGAGAUGUCCCAUGAUGGACACACAACAUUAAUAAGAAAUAAAGUUUGUCGUUUUAAGUUACUAAGAUGUGGG
RNAcentral lists this long non-coding RNA (1791 nucleotides) under Sus scrofa (pig). RNAcentral describes it as "lncRNA (ENSSSCG00070002685.1)". Lineage: Eukaryota; Metazoa; Chordata; Mammalia; Artiodactyla; Suidae. The record is from RNAcentral.